This 464-nucleotide ribosomal RNA is filed under the name uncultured bacterium. RNAcentral's name for it is "partial 16S ribosomal RNA". It matches the Rfam family "Bacterial small subunit ribosomal RNA", at positions 338 to 795 of the family's 1533-position model. The record is from RNAcentral.
CCUACGGGAGGCAGCAGUGGGGAAUCUUCCGCAAUGGGCGAAAGCCUGACGGAGCAACGCCGCGUGAUCGAAUGAAGGCCUUCGGGCUGUAAAGAUCUGUUGACAGGGACGAAUAAGCAAUGCGAAUCGUUUUGUGUAUGACGGUACCUGUUCAGAAAGCUCAGGCUAACUUCGUGCCAGCAGCCGCGGUAAUACGUAGGGAGCAAGCGUUUUCCGGAAUUACUGGGCGUAAAGGGCGCGUAGGUGGGCGCUUAAGUUAGAUGUGAAAACCUCGGGCUCAACCUGGAGACUGCACUUGAAACUGGGUGUCUUGAGGGCAGAAGAGGAAAGUGGAAUUCCUAGUGUAGCGGUGGAAUGCGUAGAUAUUAGGAAGAACACCAGUGGCGAAGGCGACUGUCUGGACUGUACCUGACGCUGAGGCGCGAAAGCAUGGGUAGCGAACGGGAUUAGAUACCCGUGUAGUC